GCCGGGCGUGGUGGCACACGCCUGUAGUCCUAGCUACUCAGCAGGUUGAGGUGGGAGGAUCGCUUGAGCCCAGGAGUUCUGGACUACAAUGUGCUAUGACGAUCGGGUGUCCGCACUAAAUUAGGCAUCCAUAUGGUGACCUUUCCGAAGCGGGGACCACCAGGUUGCCUAAGGAGGGGUGAACCUGACCAGAUCGGAAACAGACCAGGUCAAAACACGCAUGCUGAUCAGUAAUGGGAUCACACCUGUGAACAGCCACUGGACUCCAGCCUAGGCAACAAAGCAAGACGUUGUCUCUU
Unclassified non-coding RNA from Callithrix jacchus (white-tufted-ear marmoset), 299 nucleotides. It matches the Rfam family "Metazoan signal recognition particle RNA". Rfam says of the family: The signal recognition particle (SRP) is a universally conserved ribonucleoprotein. The record is from Ensembl. Lineage: Eukaryota; Metazoa; Chordata; Mammalia; Primates; Cebidae.